This 517-nucleotide ribosomal RNA is filed under the name uncultured bacterium. RNAcentral's name for it is "partial 16S ribosomal RNA". It matches the Rfam family "Bacterial small subunit ribosomal RNA", at positions 30 to 523 of the family's 1533-position model. The record is from RNAcentral.
AUUGAACGCUGGCGGCGUGCUUAACACAUGCAAGUCGAACGCGAAAGGGACUUCGGUCCUGAGUAAAGUGGCGCACGGGUGAGUAACACGUGGAUAAUCUACCCAGUGUUCCGGGAUAACACUUCGAAAGGAGUGCUAAUACCGGAUAAGCCCACGGGAACUUCGGUUCUUGCGGGAAAAGGUGGGGACCUUCGGGCCUACUGUCACUGGAUGAGUCCGCGGCCCAUUAGCUAGUUGGUGAGGUAAUGGCUCACCAAGGCAACGAUGGGUAGCUGGUCUGAGAGGAUGAUCAGCCAAACUGGAACUGAGACACGGUCCAGACUCCGACGCGAGGCAGCAGUGGGGAAUUUUGCGCAAUGGGCGAAAGCCUGACGCAGCAACGCCGCGUGAGUGAUGAAGGCCCUCGGGUCGUAAAGCUCUGUCAGAGGGGAAGAACCGCCGUACGGAUAAUAACCGUGCGGUCUGACGGUACCCUCAAAGGAAGCACCGGCUAACUCCGUGCCAGCCGCCGCGGUAA